AUACGAAGGGGGCUAAGCGUUGCUCGGAAUGACUGGGCGUAAAGGGCGUGUAGGCGGUUUUGACAGUCAGAUGUGAAAUCCCGGGCUUAACCUGGGAGCUGCAUUUGAGACGUUAAGACUAGAGUGUGAGAGAGGGUUGUGGAAUUCCCAGUGUAGAGGUGAAAUUCGUAGAUAUUGGGAAGAACACCGGUGGCGAAGGCGGCAACCUGGCUCAUUACUGACGCUGAGGCGACGAAAGCGGUGGGGAGC
This 249-nucleotide ribosomal RNA is filed under the name uncultured bacterium. RNAcentral describes it as "partial 16S ribosomal RNA". It matches the Rfam family "Bacterial small subunit ribosomal RNA", at positions 523 to 769 of the family's 1533-position model. The record is from RNAcentral.